RNAcentral lists this ribosomal RNA (549 nucleotides) under uncultured bacterium. RNAcentral describes it as "partial 16S ribosomal RNA". It matches the Rfam family "Bacterial small subunit ribosomal RNA", at positions 355 to 896 of the family's 1533-position model. The record is from RNAcentral.
UAGGGAAUAUUGGACAAUGGGCGCAAGCCUGAUCCAGCCAUGCCGCGUGAGUGAAGAGGGCCCUCGGGUUGUAAAGCUCUUUUGUCCGGAAAGAAAAGCAUCGGGCUAAUACCCUGGUGUUCUGACGGUACCGGAAGAAUAAGCACCGGCUAACUUCGUGCCAGCAGCCGCGGUAAUACGAAGGGUGCAAGCGUUACUCGGAAUUACUGGGCGUAAAGCGUGCGUAGGUGGUUUGUUAAGUCUGAUGUGAAAGCCCUGGGCUCAACCUGGGAAUGGCAUUGGAAACUGGCGGACUCGAGUGCGGUAGAGGGGUGUGGAAUUCCCGGUGUAGCAGUGAAAUGCGUAGAGAUCGGGAGGAACACCAGUGGCGAAGGCGACNCCCUGGACCAGCACUGACACUGAGGCACGAAAGCGUGGGGAGCAAACAGGAUUNGAUACCCUGGUAGUCCACGCCCUAAACGAUGCGACUGGAUGUUGGGUGCAACUUGGCACUCAGUAUCGAAGCUAACGCGUUAAGUUCGCCGCCUGGGGAGUACGGUCGCAAGACUG